GAGUUUGAUCCUGGCUCAGGACGAACGCUGGCGGCGUGCCUAAUACAUGCAAGUAGAACGCUGAAGUCUGGUGCUUGCACUAGACGGAUGAGUUGCGAACGGGUGAGUAACGCGUAGGUAACCUGCCUCAUAGCGGGGGAUAACUAUUGGAAACGAUAGCUAAUACCGCAUAACAGUAUUUACCGCAUGGUAGAUAUUUGAAAGGAGCAAUUGCUUCACUAUGAGAUGGACCUGCGUUGUAUUAGCUAGUUGGUGAGGUAACGGCUCACCAAGGCUUCGAUACAUAGCCGACCUGAGAGGGUGAUCGGCCACACUGGGACUGAGACACGGCCCAGACUCCUACGGGAGGCAGCAGUAGGGAAUCUUCGGCAAUGGGGGCAACCCUGACCGAACAACGCCGCGUGAGUGAAGAAGGUUUUCGGAUCGUAAAGCUCUGUUGUAAGAGAAGAACGUGUGUGAGAGUGGAAAGUUCACACAGUGACGGUAUCUUACCAGAAAGGGACGGCUAACUACGUGCCAGCAGCCGCGGUAAUACGUAGGUCCCGAGCGUUGUCCGGAUUUAUUGGGCGUAAAGCGAGUGCAGGCGGUUUGAUAAGUCUGAAGUAAAAGGCUGUGGCUUAACCAUAGUACGCUUUGGAAACUGUCAAACUUGAGUGCAGAAGGGGAGAGUG
Molecule: ribosomal RNA, 671 nt
Filed under: uncultured bacterium
Lineage: Bacteria
Description: bacterial SSU rRNA
Rfam family: Bacterial small subunit ribosomal RNA
Source: RNAcentral